UACGUAGGGUGCGAGCGUUAAUCGGAAUUACUGGGCGUAAAGCGUGCGCAGGCAGUCUGUUAAGACCGAUGUGAAAUCCCCGGGCUUAACCUGGGAACUGCAUUGGUGACUGGCAGGCUUUGAGUGUGGCAGAGGGAGGUAGAAUUCCACGUGUAGCAGUGAAAUGCGUAGAGAUGUGGAGGAAUACCGAUGGCGAAGGCAGCCUCCUGGGCCAACACUGACGCUCAUGCACGAAAGCGUGGGGAGCAAACAGGA
Molecule: ribosomal RNA, 255 nt
Filed under: uncultured bacterium
Lineage: Bacteria
Description: partial 16S ribosomal RNA
Rfam family: Bacterial small subunit ribosomal RNA
Source: RNAcentral